Molecule: ribosomal RNA, 350 nt
Filed under: uncultured bacterium
Lineage: Bacteria
Description: bacterial SSU rRNA
Rfam family: Bacterial small subunit ribosomal RNA
Source: RNAcentral
UGGGGAAUAUUGCACAAUGGGGGAAACCCUGAUGCAGCCAUGCCGCGUGUGUGAAGAAGGCCUUCGGGUUGUAAAGCACUUUCAGUUGUGAGGAAAGGUUAAUGGUUAAUACCCAUUAGCUGUGACGUUAACAACAGAAGAAGCACCGGCUAACUCCGUGCCAGCAGCCGCGGUAAUACGGAGGGUGCGAGCGUUAAUCGGAAUUACUGGGCGUAAAGCGCACGCAGGCGGUCUGUUAAGCUAGAUGUGAAAGCCCCGAGCUCAACUUGGGAUGGUCAUUUAGAACUGGCAGACUAGAGUCUUGGAGAGGGGAGUGGAAUUUCUAGUGUAGCGGUGAAAUGCGUAGAUAU